AGCCCGGUCGUCUAGCGGCCAAGCCAUCUGGUCAGAAGAGGGGCUAGGGAUCCCGGGCUCUGGAUCAAGAAUACUGGAGGGGAGCCCCGGGGACGCCGGUUCGAAUCCGGCCCGGGCUA
This 119-nucleotide transfer RNA is filed under the name Nitrososphaeria archaeon. RNAcentral describes it as "tRNA-OTHER". It matches the Rfam family "tRNA". From Rfam's summary of the family: Transfer RNA (tRNA) molecules are approximately 80 nucleotides in length. Their secondary structure includes four short double-helical elements and three loops (D, anti-codon, and T loops). Further hydrogen bonds mediate the characteristic L-shaped molecular structure. tRNAs have two regions of fundamental functional importance: the anti-codon, which is responsible for specific mRNA codon recognition, and the 3' end, to which the tRNAs corresponding amino acid is attached (by aminoacyl-tRNA synthetases). tRNAs cope with the degeneracy of the genetic code in two manners: having more than one tRNA (with a specific anti-codon) for a particular amino acid; and 'wobble' base-pairing, i.e. permitting non-standard base-pairing at the 3rd anti-codon position. The record is from RNAcentral. Lineage: Archaea; Thermoproteati; Nitrososphaerota; Nitrososphaeria.